AUUGAACGCUGGCGGCAUGCCUUACACAUGCAAGUCGAACGGCAGCACGGGGCAACCUGGUGGCGAGUGGCGAACGGGUGAGUAAUGCAUCGGAACGUGCCAUUGAGUGGGGGAUAACGUAGCGAAAGUUGCGCUAAUACCGCAUAUUCUGUGAGCAGGAAAGCAGGGGGACCGCAAGGCCUUGCGCUCUUUGAGCGGCCGAUGUCAGAUUAGCUAGUUGGUGAGGUAACGGCUUACCAAGGCGACGAUCUGUAGCGGGUCUGAGAGGAUGAUCCGCCACACUGGAACUGAGACACGGUCCAGACUCCUACGGGAGGCAGCAGUGGGGAAUUUUGGACAAUGGGCGCAAGCCUGAUCCAGCCAUGCCGCGUGAGUGAAGAAGGCCUGG
Molecule: ribosomal RNA, 388 nt
Filed under: uncultured bacterium
Lineage: Bacteria
Description: bacterial SSU rRNA
Rfam family: Bacterial small subunit ribosomal RNA
Source: RNAcentral